This 433-nucleotide ribosomal RNA is filed under the name uncultured bacterium. RNAcentral describes it as "partial 16S ribosomal RNA". It matches the Rfam family "Bacterial small subunit ribosomal RNA", at positions 29 to 507 of the family's 1533-position model. The record is from RNAcentral.
AACGAACGCUGGCGGCAUGCCUAACACAUGCAAGUCGAACGAGACCUUCGGGUCUAGUGGCGCACGUGUGCGUAACGCGUGGGAACCUGCCUGUAGGUUCGGAAUAACUCAGAGAAAUUUGAGCUAAUACCGGAUGAUGUCUUCAGACUAAAGAUUUAUCGCCUUUAUAUGGGCCCGCGUUGGAUUAGCUAGUUGGUGGGGUAAAGGCCUAGCCAGGGGAACAUCCAUAGCUGGUCAGAGAGGAUGAUCAGCCACACUGGGACUGAGACACGGCCCAGACUCCUGCGGGAGGCAGCCGUGGGGAAUACUAGACAAUGCGAGACAGCCUGAUCCAGCAAUGCCGAGUGAGUGAUCAAGGCCUUAGGGUUGUAAAGCUCUUUUACACGAGAUGAUAAUGACAGUAUCGGGAGAAUAAGCUCCGGCUAACUCCGUG